CUCGUGUCGUGAGAUGUUGGGUUAAGUCCCGCAACGAGCGCAACCCCUAUUGUUAGUUGCCAUCAUUCAGUUGGGCACUCUAGCGAGACUGCCGGUAAUAAACCGGAGGAAGGUGGGGAGUGACGUCAAAUCAUCAUGCCCCUUAUGGCCUGGGCUACACACGUGCUACAAUGGCAGGUACAGAGGGCUGCGAAGCCGCGAGGUGGAGCGAAUCCCAGAAAACCUGUCUCAGUCCGGAUUGAAGUCUGCAACUCGACUUCAUGAAGGCGGAAUCGCUAGUAACCGCGAAUCAGCAGGUCGCGGUGAAUACGUUCCCGGGCCGUU
This 324-nucleotide ribosomal RNA is filed under the name uncultured Latescibacterota bacterium. RNAcentral's name for it is "bacterial SSU rRNA". It matches the Rfam family "Bacterial small subunit ribosomal RNA", at positions 1059 to 1382 of the family's 1533-position model. Lineage: Bacteria; Pseudomonadati; Candidatus Latescibacterota. The record is from RNAcentral.